AGGUCCGGCUGGGGAGCGGAACGGCAUGGGAGGGCCGGCCGCAGCGGGUGACAGCCCCGUACGCGAACCCAGACCGGACGGCGCGACGCGGUCCCUGAGUAGGGCCGGGCACGUGAAACCCGGUCCGAACCUGGGUGGACCACCAUCCAAGCCUGAGUACUACCCUGUGACCGAUAGCGCACCAGUACCGUGAGGGAAAGGUGAAAAGCACCCCGGGAGGGGAGUGAAACAGUACCUGAAACCGUGCGCCCACGAGCAGUCGGAGCACCUUUGACGGUGUGACGGCGUGCCUUUUGUAGAAUGAGCCAGCGAGUCGCUGGCGCGGGGCGAGGUUAACCGAAAGGGAGCCGGAGCGAAAGCGAGCCUUAACAGGGCGACUUGAGUCCCGCGCCGCGGACGCGAAGCCGGGUGAGCUAUCCGUGGGCAGGCUGAAGCGGGGGUAAGACCCCGUGGAGGGCCGAACGCACGUCGGUUGAAAACGGCGGCGAUGACCUGCGGAUAGGGGUGAAAGGCCAAUCAAACCCGGAGAUAUCUCGUUCUCCCCGAAAUAGCUUUAGGGCUAGCGUCGCGCGUUCACCGCCGGAGGUAGAGCACCGGAUGGACGAGGGGGCUUCGCCGCCUACCGAAUCCAACCGAACUCCGAAUGCCGGCGGCCCAGAGCGCGGCAGUCAGAGCAUGUGGGCUAAGCUGUGUGCUCGAGAGGGAAACAGCCCGGACCGCCCGCUAAGGUCCCCAAGUUCCAGCCGAGUGGCAAAGGAUGUGCGUCCGCCCAGACAACCAGGAUGUUGGCUUAGAAGCAGCCAUCCAUUCAAAGAGUGCGUAACAGCUCACUGGUCGAGUGGACAUGCGCCGACAAUACACGGGGCUAAGCUGGACACCGAAGCGGCGGGAUUUUAAUUCAUUAGAAUCGGUAGGGGAGCUUCCCAUGGGCGGAGAAGCCGGAGGGCGACCGACGGUGGAGCGCAUGGGAGUGAGAAUGCUGGCAUGAGUAGCGAGAGACGAGAGAGUAACUCGUCCGCCGUGAACCCGAGGUUUCCUGGGCAAGGCUAAUCCUCCCAGGGUCAGUCGGGGGCUAAGGCGAGGCCGGUAGGCGUAGCCGACGCGCAGCAGGCAGACAUUCCUGCACCGCGCACGCGGCGCUACGACCGACGGGGCGACGGAUGGGGGUGGCUCGGCGGGGUUCUGGACGUCCCCGUGAUGGAGCGCGGCCCGCGGACCAGGGAAAUCCGGUCCGCAGGAGGGCGAGGCUCCGGACGAAGCGACUGAGCGAAGCGAGUGAGCCCGAGGUCCCUAGAAAAACCCCUAGGCAGGCGCGUGCGCGCCCGUACCGCAAACCGACACAGGUGGGUGGGUAGAACAUACCGAGGCGAUCGGGUCAACCAUGGUCAAGGAACUCGGCACAAUGGCCCCGUAACUUCGGGAGAAGGGGUGCCCGCGCGUACGUGAACGGACUUGCUCCGGGAGCGGAGGCGGGCCGCAGUGGAGAGGCCCAAGCGACUGUUUACCAAAAACACAGGACUCUGCAGAAGCCGCAAGGCGACGUAUAGGGUCUGACGCCUGCCCGGUGCCGGAAGGUCACGCGGAGGAGUUAGCGCAUCGCGCGAAGCCCCGAAGCCAAGCCCCGGUAAACGGCGGCCGUAACUAUAACGGUCCUAAGGUAGCGAAAUUCCUUGUCGGGUAAGUUCCGACCUGCACGAAAGGCGCAACGACUUGGGCGCUGUCUCGACCAUGGACCCGGUGAAAUUGCACUGGUCGUGAAGAUGCGACUUACCCGCGGAAGGACGGAAAGACCCCGUGAACCUUCACUGCAGCUUGGCAUUGGCCGCUGGUCCCGCGUGUAGAGGAUAGGCAGGAGGCAUCGAUCCGGAGGCGCCAGCCCCCGGGGAGCCGCCCUUGGAAUACUGCCCUCGCGCGACCGGCGUCCUAACCCGAGGCCGUCAACCGGCUCGGGGACCGUGCCAGGCGGGCAGUUUGACUGGGGCGGUCGCCUCCUAAAGGGUAACGGAGGCGCGCGAAGGUCCGCUCGGGACGGUCGGCAACCGUCCUUUUGAAUGCAAGAGUACAAGCGGGCUUGACUGCGAGGCCCACAAGCCGAGCAGGUGCGAAAGCAGGCUCUAGUGAUCCGGCGGCCCCGAGUGGGUGGGCCGUCGCUCAACGGAUAAAAGGUACUCCGGGGAUAACA
Molecule: ribosomal RNA, 2182 nt
Filed under: human gut metagenome
Description: bacterial LSU rRNA
Rfam family: Bacterial large subunit ribosomal RNA
Source: RNAcentral